CGUACACAAAAAUGCACAUAUUGUGAGCUCGAUGAGUAGGGCGGGACACGUGGUAUCCUGUCUGAAUAUGGGGGGACCAUCCUCCAAGGCUAAAUACUCCUGACUGACCGAUAGUGAACCAGUACCGUGAGGGAAAGGCGAAAAGAACCCCGGCGAGGGGAGUGAAAAAGAACCUGAAACCGUGUACGUACAAGCAGUGGGAGCCUCUUUAUGGGGUGACUGCGUACCUUUUGUAUAAUGGGUCAGCGACUUAUAUUCUGUAGCAAGGUUAACCGAAUAGGGGAGCCGAAGGGAAACCGAGUCUUAACUGGGCGUUAAGUUGCAGGGUAUAGACCCGAAACCCGGUGAUCUAGCCAUGGGCAGGUUGAAGGUUGGGUAACACUAACUGGAGGACCGAACCGACUAAUGUUGAAAAAUUAGCGGAUGACUUGUGGCUGGGGGUGAAAGGCCAAUCAAACCGGGAGAUAGCUGGUUCUCCCCGAAAGCUAUUUAGGUAGCGCCUCGUGAAUUCAUCUCCGGGGGUAGAGCACUGUUUCGGCAAGGGGGUCAUCCCGACUUACCAACCCGAUGCAAACUGCGAAUACCGGAGAAUGUUAUCACGGGAGACACACGGCGGGUGCUAACGUCCGUCGUGAAGAGGGAAACAACCCAGACCGCCAGCUAAGGUCCCAAAGUCAUGGUUAAGUGGGAAACGAUGUGGGAAGGCCCAGACAGCCAGGAUGUUGGCUUAGAAGCAGCCAUCAUUUAAAGAAAGCGUAAUAGCUCACUGGUCGAGUCGGCCUGCGCGGAAGAUGUAACGGGGCUAAACCAUGCACCGAAGCUGCGGCAGCGACACUAUGUGUUGUUGGGUAGGGGAGCGUUCUGUAAGCCUGUGAAGGUGGCCUGUGAGGGUUGCUGGAGGUAUCAGAAGUGCGAAUGCUGACAUAAGUAACGAUAAAGCGGGUGAAAAGCCCGCUCGCCGGAAGACCAAGGGUUCCUGUCCAACGUUAAUCGGGGCAGGGUGAGUCGACCCCUAAGGCGAGGCCGAAAGGCGUAGUCGAUGGGAAACAGGUUAAUAUUCCUGUACUUGGUGUUACUGCGAAGGGGGGACGGAGAAGGCUAUGUUGGCCGGGCGACGGUUGUCCCGGUUUAAGCGUGUAGGCUGGUUUUCCAGGCAAAUCCGGAAAACCAAGGCUGAGGCGUGAUGACGAGGCACUACGGUGCUGAAGCGACAAAUGCCCUGCUUCCAGGAAAAGCCUCUAAGCAUCAGGUAACAUCAAAUCGUACCCCAAACCGACACAGGUGGUCAGGUAGAGAAUACCAAGGCGCUUGAGAGAACUCGGGUGAAGGAACUAGGCAAAAUGGUGCCGUAACUUCGGGAGAAGGCACGCUGAUAUGUAGGUGAAGCGACUUGCUCGUGGAGCUGAAAUCAGUCGAAGAUACCAGCUGGCUGCAACUGUUUAUUAAAAACACAGCACUGUGCAAACACGAAAGUGGACGUAUACGGUGUGACGCCUGCCCGGUGCCGGAAGGUUAAUUGAUGGGGUUAGCGGUAACGCGAAGCUCUUGAUCGAAGCCCCGGUAAACGGCGGCCGUAACUAUAACGGUCCUAAGGUAGCGAAAUUCCUUGUCGGGUAAGUUCCGACCUGCACGAAUGGCGUAAUGAUGGCCAGGCUGUCUCCACCCGAGACUCAGUGAAAUUGAACUCGCUGUGAAGAUGCAGUGUACCCGCGGCAAGACGGAAAGACCCCGUGAACCUUUACUAUAGCUUGACACUGAACAUUGAGCCUUGAUGUGUAGGAUAGGUGGGAGGCUUUGAAGUGUGGACGCCAGUCUGCAUGGAGCCGACCUUGAAAUACCACCCUUUAAUGUUUGAUGUUCUAACGUUGGCCCGUAAUCCGGGUUGCGGACAGUGUCUGGUGGGUAGUUUGACUGGGGCGGUCUCCUCCUAAAGAGUAACGGAGGAGCACGAAGGUUGGCUAAUCCUGGUCGGACAUCAGGAGGUUAGUGCAAUGGCAUAAGCCAGCUUGACUGCGAGCGUGACGGCGCGAGCAGGUGCGAAAGCAGGUCAUAGUGAUCCGGUGGUUCUGAAUGGAAGGGCCAUCGCUCAACGGAUAAAAGGUACUCCGGGGAUAACAGGCUGAUACCGCCCAAGAGUUCAUAUCGACGGCGGUGUUUGGCACCUCGAUGUCGGCUCAUCACAUCCUGGGGCUGAAGUAGGUCCCAAGGGUAUGGCUGUUCGCCAUUUAAAGUGGUACGCGAGCUGGGUUUAGAACGUCGUGAGACAGUUCGGUCCCUAUCUGCCGUGGGCGCUGGAGAACUGAGGGGGGCUGCUCCUAGUACGAGAGGACCGGAGUGGACGCAUCACUGGUGUUCGGGUUGUCAUGCCAAUGGCACUGCCCGGUAGCUAAAUGCGGAAGAGAUAAGUGCUGAAAGCAUCUAAGCACGAAACUUGC
RNAcentral lists this ribosomal RNA (2435 nucleotides) under Escherichia coli. RNAcentral's name for it is "partial 23S ribosomal RNA". It matches the Rfam family "Bacterial large subunit ribosomal RNA", at positions 374 to 2797 of the family's 2925-position model. Lineage: Bacteria; Pseudomonadati; Pseudomonadota; Gammaproteobacteria; Enterobacterales; Enterobacteriaceae. The record is from RNAcentral.